UCCUGUUUCGAAAGUGAUCAUGGUGUGUGUGUGUCGCCAGGUCAUUGAUAGAACAGGAAGAUGAAACUGUGAACCUUUCCCUGUGUUUGAAGGAUGUUCAGUUCCUCUCAGACCCUGGUGCUCACAGACA
This is a small nucleolar RNA of Solea solea (common sole), 130 nucleotides long. RefSeq annotates it as small nucleolar RNA SNORA71. The record is from RefSeq and is a predicted model, not a curated record. NCBI's taxonomy places the organism in Eukaryota, Metazoa, Chordata, Actinopteri, Pleuronectiformes, Soleidae. The transcript has a single exon.